Long non-coding RNA from Gordionus sp. m RMFG-2023, 397 nucleotides. RefSeq lists it as uncharacterized. The record is from RefSeq and is a predicted model, not a curated record. Lineage: Eukaryota; Metazoa; Nematomorpha; Gordioida; Chordodea; Parachordodidae. The transcript is spliced from 4 exons.
AUUUUUGAUCUAAUAAUUCGAAUAAUUUCUAAUUUAUAUAAUUUAUUUUUUAAAAUUAGUAUAUUAUAAAAGCCAAGAACAUUAAAUUUAAGUAUCAUGAGAAAUAUACUUAUCCUCCUUUUUAACUGGAUAUUGGUGAUAACGAUAUUAUUAGUUACGUCAAGUGAUGGAGCACGUAGAAGGACCGUUGAACAAGCAACCACUACAACAUUGGGAGCUAUUCAACCCAGAUUUGCAUUAAAAUAAUAAAUAAAUUACAUUUAUUCAAAUAUAAUAAAUCAUUUAAUCACUUUAAAAAUCUUAAUAUUGAUCAAUAUUAUAGUAUUUUAAUUCAAAAUUUAUGAUUUUUUUUGCAUUGUCAUAAACUAUAAACACAAUAAAUUAAAUUAUUAACCAA